ACCAGACUCCUACGGGAGGCAGCAGUGAGGAAUAUUGGUCAAUGGGCGCGAGCCUGAACCAGCCAAGUAGCGUGAAGGAUGACUGCCCUAUGGGUUGUAAACUUCUUUUAUAUGGGAAUAAAGUGCAGUAUGUAUACUGCUUUGCAUGUACCUUAUGAAUAAGGAUCGGCUAACUCCGUGCCAGCAGCCGCGGUAAUACGGAGGAUGCGAGCGUUAUCCGGAUUUAUUGGGUUUAAAGGGUGCGUAGGCGGAGUGUCAAGUCAGCGGUAAAAUUUCGGGGCUCAACCCCGUCGUGCCGUUGAAACUGACGCCCUUGAGUGAGUGAGAAGUAAGCGGAAUGCGUGGUGUAGCGGUGAAAUGCAUAGAUAUCACGCAGAACUCCGAUUGCGAAGGCAGCAUACCGGCGCGCAACUGACGCUCAUGCACGAAAGCGUGGGUAUCGAACAGGAUUAGAUACCCCAGUAUAU
Molecule: ribosomal RNA, 467 nt
Filed under: uncultured bacterium
Lineage: Bacteria
Description: bacterial SSU rRNA
Rfam family: Bacterial small subunit ribosomal RNA
Source: RNAcentral